GGCUGGAUAGCUCAGUUGGUAGAGCGCCGGUACGGUAACCCGGAGGUCGCAGGUUCGAGUCCCGCUCCAGUCA
RNAcentral lists this transfer RNA (73 nucleotides) under Staphylococcus aureus. RNAcentral's name for it is "tRNA-OTHER". It matches the Rfam family "tRNA". Rfam says of the family: Transfer RNA (tRNA) molecules are approximately 80 nucleotides in length. Their secondary structure includes four short double-helical elements and three loops (D, anti-codon, and T loops). The record is from RNAcentral. Lineage: Bacteria; Bacillati; Bacillota; Bacilli; Caryophanales; Staphylococcaceae.